GAAUUAACAUGUGCGAGAAUAAGUCUAAAAAAACUUAAUAUAAUGAAAAUUGAAAUUCUCCAUUUUGUUGGGGUGAUUGUUCCGCGUUCAUGGAAGAAGCUAAUGAAUUUCCAGUUUCCAGAUUCAAUUUGGAGGGUGGACAGCUAUAACUAUUUGUUGGGAACAAAAUCAGCGACUUAUAUUUGGUGAAUUAAUGGCAAAAGCCUGAAAACGUGUGUACCCUCGAUCCAUCUCCAGUGUGCAGGUUGCAAAGCACCUCUCCUCCGCCCAAAUCGACGGACCCAUUUCCACGCCGUCGUUAAGCGCGAAAAGCCCUGACCUUUUGACGAACCUCCACGAAGCCGCGAACCAUCGCCCUCUACCGAGACUCAUCCUUGACGAGAUCCAAACGAUCGAUCUGAGAUUGGUAGUUGGGGAGGCUGAAUAUCGUCCUGAGUGUCAGAAAUGCUCACGGCAUCCCACCUUGAAGAACUCUCUGUUCAUCUAAUUCCCUUGUGCGAGCAAAAGUUAGAACUCUUGCCGGAAUAUUGUUCUCUCCCUUAUAGAAGUAUCUUGCAAGUCUGACCGCCUCUUUCCAAGACAUUCUAUCCCUUGGAGCUGCGUUGCCUCCGAAAGCCUCUUGUUGGGGCUGAUAACGCUUGUGCAAGCGGAUUAAUGAUAUUAGAAAACAAAUGGUGGAAGUGACUCCAGACAUAAGGUAGAGACCCCAGAAACUUUCAAGGCUCAAACGAUCAGGUGUACUGGGGGUUACAUCCGUUGCACACUCACGGGAGGGAGUCAACCAUGCAUCUUCAAGUUUUUUCAGCUUUCCUUCUUCAAAUAGCCUUAGAAUCGCUUGUGAAAAAUCCCUGGCUAUUGGGGAGCCUUUCUGGAAUACCUGCAUGGAUGAUCAGAUAUUACUUCUAUUAGAGAAAAAUAAGGAAAAGCUUCUUUGGUGAAUUCUAGAGAUAAUGAACUAGUUUCAGCCACCAUGCAGAAAGUUACCAAAGACUCAAAGUGCAAAGUUGAAGUUAAUACUCACAAAGCCAAAUCCUCCAAAUCUAUAGGUAAGCCUUUACAAAAGAAUCGUUAUCACAACCAAUUUUUGAGUUGCUGUUCCUUAGCCAGUUGAUAUCUGGAACCGUUUCUAGUCGUUGCACAGUGAGAAUUGAAGAUAGAUUUGCAGUGUAGCUUGAGGUCAGGAUCCACACAACGAAAAGCCAAAUUACUACCACCACUCGAGUUAAGUUGCUUUGAAGCGUCUCUUCUGCAAAGACAAAACCGUGUAUGGAGUGUGACGGAUGGUUCUAACCCAGCAACAAAAAGGCAUUGAUAUAUAAACCAUUCACAAGCAUUCUUUAAAAAUUUCGUCUUGGUUGCGCUUCUAAAGUCCAUAUCCUGGGACCCUGUUGUUGAUUAGAAUUUAGAAAGCCAUAUCAUGUUAGAGUGAACCUAAUUCCGCCGGGGUCAGUUCUGCAGUAUUUGCAUUAUGUUGCCAAAAAAUUCUUGUUUCAAAUGCAAUUUACAAUGCACCCACAAGCACGUUUUCAAGCCGGAUA
This is a long non-coding RNA of Carya illinoinensis, 1538 nucleotides long. RefSeq lists it as uncharacterized. The record is from RefSeq and is a predicted model, not a curated record. Lineage: Eukaryota; Viridiplantae; Streptophyta; Magnoliopsida; Fagales; Juglandaceae. The transcript is spliced from 3 exons.